RNAcentral lists this long non-coding RNA (9830 nucleotides) under Lynx pardinus (Iberian lynx). The record is from RNAcentral. Lineage: Eukaryota; Metazoa; Chordata; Mammalia; Carnivora; Felidae.
UCUACCCAGGGGAGGGGCAGGAAGAUUUCCCACCCGGAGGACCUAGUCGAGCAAACAACGGGAAAUGAGCUCGAGAACGGUUUACAUAUUCUCCGCAGGCGACUGCAGACGACCCCUCAUCCCUCUGAUGUAAAAAUGCAGGGCAGGAAAAAGGGAAGAAGACUGUGGAGAGGUGGGUGGGGACCACAGCCCAGCAAGCUUUCUCAGGACAAGGAGCUUAUGGCUCCUCUCACUGGCUGGUGGUUCUCAGACAUCAGCAAGCUUCAGAUUUCCCUGAUGAGUUGUUUUGUCUUGUUUUUUUUAACAUAGGUUUGCUGGGCUUCAUCCCCAGAGUUUCCAGUUCAGGGAGGUUUGGGCUGGGGCCUGAGAGUUUGUGUUUCUAACAGGCCCCCCUGUGAUGCUGCUGUCGCUGCUCUGAAACCACACACCCUGGACAACCAAAGGGACACACAGGAUUUCAAGGUCAGCGGUAAAGUGAGCUGUGUGCUUCGAGCCUCAGGCUCCUGGCGCAGGCUGGAGGUAGGGGCACCAGUUAGGAGGCUAUGGCAGAGGUGGGGGGGGGGGGGGGGGGGGGGCGGGCAGGCAGGGAGGAGGUAGACAAACCAAACCAUAACUCUGCUUGUUAGCAAUUCCAUCAAUUAUUCCCCAAAGAACAUCAUAAUGGACAAAUCUGUGUAUCAUAUUUGCAAAGUUCGGCUCCCUUAUUUAAUUAGGACAUGGAGACUAAGCGGCAUGUAAAGAGAAUAUAUUCGAGAGAAAAGUGAUAGAACUGGAGAUAUACACAUUUCCAAUCCAGAAAUGAGUCCUGCUGUUGAAAACCAGAGAAGAGAGGUUACUCUUCUAUCUUGGAUUCCUAGUCCCUUUGGCUGAGAUAGUAAGGGACGUCUCAUCAUCUCCUUCAGAAAGGAGAGGUCCUACCUUGAAAGAAGAAUGAAAAUCUAGGGCUUUGGAAUUAGAAACCAAGGAGUGAAGUGAAAAUGGAAACCAGGGUGAGGGUGUCAUGAAAGUGGGGUAAGUGAGCGCAGGCACAACAGUCUGGCAUCCAGCUUAUUAAGCCCCCCACUUGCGAAACCACUGGACAUUUACUAGUUGCUUUUCCCCAAGGUGAGCUAAUCAGAGUCCCUGCUGCACUCUAAAGAUCCAUGAUAGAGCCACAGAGACUAAAAGAUGCUGGAGAAAAGUCAUCAGAGCAAAAGUCCUGCUAUUGGGGGGGGGGGGCUCCCAGAAUCCAGAGUCACCCUGGAUUGUUUGCCUGGGUCAUUCAGAACACCCUCAGUUUGUGAGUGGCCCAGCAUCCCUGGAGGGGUGUUUCCCCAACCACCUGUGGAGAAGAAACUGUUUGUUUGUCAUUUCCAAUCAAACACACACCAGUGCUUUUGUAACUUAUGACAAAAAUGGACUACUAUAACUCUUAUCAAGAGACAGGAUCAGUCUUAUCAUGAGAAAAACAUCAGACAAAUCUCAACUGGGGGAUGUUCUACAAAAGACCUGAUCAGAACUCCUCAGAGUCUCCCAGGUCAUCCAAAAAAACAAGGGACAUCUGAGAAACUAACACAGCUAAGAGGAGCCAAAGGAGACACAAUAAUUAAAUGUAACGUGCUGUCCUAGAUGACAUCCUGGAACAGAAAAAGAACAUUAAGAAAAACUAUGGAAACCUGAUGAAUGUAUGAACUUUAAUCAAUAAUAAUGAAUCAAUAUUGGUUCGCGACUAGUAAUAAAUGUACCAUAGUAACAUAAGAUGUUAGUGUAGGAAGUUAGUAAUAGGGGAAACUGAGUAGGGUAUAUGAGAACUCUGAACGAUCUUUAUGACUUUUCUAUAAACCUAAAAGUGUUCCAAAAAAUAAAGUUUACAUUUUAAAAAAAAUCAUUGAGGAGCAAUAAAAUAGAAAAAAAUUAUAAACAAAAUACAAGCUCAAAUUUUAUGAUUAUAUUCAGCAUACAUAAAAUUACACUUCAAUAAAUACAAGAACAUAUCUAGAAAAAAAGAAAAGAAUGGCAAAAAUUGUGCACUUUAUUUACUGCAAGUGUGAGUAUAGGUGAAUAAAUAAUGAGUUGCUGCUACAUUCAUAACUUUUCAUUCCUGUCAUUCAGCUGUAACUAAGCAAAGAGGUAUAUGUAUAACAGGGAGUCCCUAUAUUAAGUUCUUAAAUGCACGCUUUGAAGGAAGAUCAUAUUUAUCAAUAUCAAAGUUUUUAACAUGACAAAUGAGCAAGCUUUGCGCUUGUUAACGUCUCUAAUCUAGUUCAGAUUGAUUACAGCGCUUCUCAGUGGUGAUAAUGUAUAUCUAAAUUGCUUCUGUGCUUUGUUUUAGUAACAAGGACAGCAUAGAAACCAGUCUCGCAAACAAAUGGAAAGAUAUUCCAUGCUCAUGAAUUGGAAGAAUUAAUAUUGUCAAAGUGUCCAUAUUACCCAAAACAAUCUGUAGAUUCAACGCAAACCCUAUCAGAACACCAACAGCAUUUUUUACAAAACAAUUAAAUGGAACCACAAGAGACUCUGAAUAGUCAAAGCAGUCCUGAGAAAGAAGAAGAAAGCUGGAGAUAUUACAAUUCCCGAUUUCAAGAUAUAUUCCAAAUCUGUAGUAACCAAAACAGCAUGGUAUUGGCACAAAAACCAACACAUAGAUCAAUGGACAGAAUAGAGACCCCAGAAAUACACCCACAUUUAUACGGUUAAUUAGUCUAUGACAAAGGAAGAAAGAAUAUACAGUGGGGAAAAGUCAGUCUUUUCAAUAAAUGGUGUUGAGAUACUGAACAGCUACAUCUAAAAGAAUGAAACCAGGCAACUUGCUAACACCAUACAGAAAAACAAACUCAAAAUGUGAGACCUAAAACCAAAAAAAUCCUAGGAGAGAACACAGGCAGUAAUUUCGCUGACAUCAGCCAUAGCAACAUUUUCUAGAUAUGUCUUAUAAAACAAGGGAAACAAAAGCAAGCAUGAACUAUUGGGUUCAUCAAGAUAAAAAGCUUCCGCACAGCAAAGGAAACAAUCAACAAAACUAAAAGACAACCUGUAGAAUGGGAGAAGAUAUUUGCAAAUGACAUGUAUGAUAAAGGUUUAGUAUCCAAAAUCUAUAAAGAACUUAUCAAACUCAAACACCCCCCCCCAAAAACACACACACACACACACACACACACACACAAAUAACCCAGGUAAGAAACGGGCAGAAGACACGAAUAGACACUUUUCCAAAGAAGACAUUCAGAUGGCUAACAAACACAUAAAGAUAUUCAACAUCACUCAUCAUCAGGGAAAUAGAAAUCAAAACCAUGAUGAGAUACCUCCUCACACCUGUAAGAAUGGCUACAAUUAACAACACAAGAAACAAUGGGUGUUGGCAAGGAUGUGGAGAAAGGGGAAACCUCUUGCACUGUUGGUGGGAAUGCAAAGUGGUGCAGCCACUCUGGAGAACAGUAUGGAGGUUCCUCAAAAAACUAAAAAUAAAACUACCCUUGCACUAGUAGGUAUUUACCCAAAGGAUACAAAACUACAGAUUCAAAGGGGCACAUGCACCCCAAUGUUUAUAGCAGCUCUAUCAACAAUAGCCAAAUUAUGGAGAGAGCCCAAAUGUCCAUCGACUAAUGAAUGGCUAAAGAAGAUGUGCUAUAUAUAUACAAUGGAAUAUUCUCAGACAUCACCAAGAAUGAAAUCUUACCAUUUGCAAUGACAUGUAUGGAGCUAGAGUGUAUUGUGCUAAGCAAAAUAAGUCAAUCAGAGAAAGAAAAAUGCCAUAUGAUUUACUCACAUGUGGAACUUAAGAAACAAAACAGAUGAAUAUAUGGAAGGGAUGGAGAGAGGAGAGAGGGAAAUAAACUACAAGAGACUCUUAACCGUAGAGAACGAACUGAGGGUUGAUGGAGGGAGGUGAGUGGGAUAUGGGCUAGACGGGUGAUGAGUAUUAAAGAGGGCACUUGUUAUGAUGAGCACUGGGUGUUGUAUGUAAGUGACGAAUCAUCAAAUUCUACUCCUGAAACCAAUAUUGCACUGUAUGUUUAACUAACUAAAAUUUAAAUUAAAAAAUAAGUAAAUAAAAAUUAAAAAAUAAACUAUUAGGACUACAUCAAAGUAAAGAGCUUUUACAUAGCAAACAAAACCAUCAACAAAGCAAAAAGACAACCCACUGAAUGAGAGAAGAUAUUUGCCAAUGAUAUAUCUGAUAAAGGGUUAAUAUCCAAAAUAUAUAAAGAACUCAUACUACUCAACAUCAGAAAAACAAGCAAUCUGAUUAAAAAUUGGCAGAGGUCCUGAAUAGACAUUUUCCAAUAGAAGACACGCAGAUGGCCAACAGACACAUGAAAAGAUGCCCAGCAUCAUUCAUUAUUGGGGAAAUGCAAAUCAAAACCAUGAUGAGAUAUCACUUCACUCUUGUUAGCAUGGCUAAAAUCAAGAAGACAAGAAACAAGUGUUGGAAGUAUAUGGAGAAAAAGGAACCUUUAUGCACUGUUGGUGGGAAUGUAAUUUGAUACAACCACUGUGAAAUAGUAUGGCCGUUCCUCAAAAAUUAAAAAUAGAAAUACCUUAUGAUCCAAUAGUUACAUUAUUGAGUUUUCACCCAGGGAAAACAAAAACACUAACUCAAAAAGGUAUAUGCACCCUUAUAUUUAUUGCACCAUUAUUUACAAUAGCCAAGACAUGGAAGCAACCUUUUGGCUUUCAACAGGCAAAUGGAUAAGGAAAAUGUAUAUUUGUACAAUGGAAUAUUAGACAUCCAUAAAAAAGGAUGAGAUCAUGCCAUUUGAGACAACUUGUAUGGACCUAGAGGGUAUUAUGCUAAGUGAAAUAAGUCAGACUGAGAAAGACGAAUGCCAUAUGAUUCCAUUCAUAAAUGGAAUCUUUAAAAAAAAUGAAUAAACACACAAAGAGCAGAAUAAGAACUAGAAAUACAGAGAAUAAACUGAUAACUGCCAGAGGAAAGGGGGGUGAAGGCGUGGGGGAAAGGGUUAAGAGGAAAGGGAGAUGGCCUCCAGUUAUGGAAUGAAUAAGUCAUGGGAAUAAAAAGCAGAGCAUAAGGAAUACAGCCAAUAUUAUAAUAGCGAUGUAGCAGGACACAUAGUAGCUAUACUUGUGGUAAACACAGCAUGAUGUACAAAGUUGUCAAAUUACAAAGUUGUGUAUCUAAAGCUAACGUAACAUUGUAUGUCAACUAUAUUCAAGUAAAAACAAAAUAAAAUAAAAUCUAUUCGAUCACUCUUAAAAAAAUUAAAAAAAAAAAAAGAUAGGACCCAUCAGACUUUAUAUCUUGCAGAAACAUUGAGUUUUUAUAGCUCAAGCAUUCUCAACUUUUCUUUUCUACAAUCACUGGACCUCAAUAUUCAAUGAAAGUCCUAUUUUAUAAUUCAUUUUCCAUAUUAUCACAUAGUUUGUAAAGAGAAUAAUCUAAAGUUUAUGCAUUACACUUCACUUAAUUUACAAUUUUUGUGAUAUCACUUGGUGCAUUGUUUCUUUUGGCUGAUAUUUUUUUUCAUAGCAAGACUUUCUUAGUAAAGAAAGUGGUGCGUUGAUUUCCAUCUGCCCAACCUCUUUGAUCUGGGCAAAUACUCCAGAAAGUUUCCUUUUCACCACAACUGUGACAUCAGAGCAUAUUUCUAUACUGAAGGAACUCCCAAACACACCUGAUAAUAUUGUAACCCUUCAUAGUUUUAUACAGCCCAAUUAUAGUUGCUGACAAUGAAGGUGAAAAACAUGAAUCUUCAAAUUACCAUCAUGUUCUGAUUGUGCAUAUGUAAAGAGAAUUGCAAGGUUAACAAUAUCUGUUGCAAGUUGCAAUAAAAGAUACAUUGCUAGUACACCUCCGUGUACCAAAAAUGGUUAAUACACCAUGACCAGUUGGAAAUCAAGAUUGGUUUAACAUUCUAAAAGCACAGUAUAAAUAAACUAAGGAAAAGCAUAUUAUUAUCUCAAUAGAUGAAUAAAAAGCAUUUUAUAAAUUCCAGCACUAAUUCCUGAUAAAUACUCCCAGCAAACUAAGAACAGGUGGAAAAUGCCAGAACUUGAUUAACAGGCAGCUACCAAAACCCGACAGCUAGGGUCAUGCUUACUGAUGAAACACUGGAUGUUUUCUUCCUGUCGGGGGCUGAAUUUCAUCCCUCAACAUUCAUAUGUUAAAGUCCUAACCCCUGGUACCUCAGAAUAUGGCUCUAUCUGAAGACAGAACCUUUAAGAGGUAAUCAAGGUAAAAUGAAAUCAUGUGAGUGGGGCUUAAUCUGCUGUUCUUAUGAAAAAAAGAAAAGAAAAGAAAAGAAAAGAAAAGAAGAGAAGAGAAGAGAAGAGAAGAGACGAGAAGAGAAAAAAGGAAAGAGAAAAGAAAAGAAAAGAAAAGAAAAGAAAAGAAAAGAAAAGAAAAGAAAAGAAAAGAAAAGAAAAGACAAGACAAGAAAAGGUAAUUAGGACACAGACACACAGGCACAGAGGAAAGUCCACGUGGUGACACAGCAAGGAGGAGGCCAUCUGUAAGCCAGGGCAAGAGGUUUCAGAAGAAACCAUACCUGCCAAUACCUUGAUCUCAGAUUUCUAACCUUCAGAAACACAUCUCUGUUGUUAUAACCACCCCAGCAAACUAACACACUGCCUACCAUCAGGAAAAAGGCCAGUGUGCCUUCUCUCAUUCCUUCCCUUCGACAUUGUCCUAGAGGGUAGAGCCAGUUAAAGAAAAAGAAAAAAAAGUUCAGCAUGGGAAGGAAAACAAUAAAACUAUCAAUCUGCAGAUGACAAGAUCGUCUACAUAGAAAAGUCUGUGAAAUUUACAAAAAAAAAAAGAAAUCAGAAUUAUUUUUAGCGAGGUUGUCAUUUACAAAAUCGACAUACGGAAUUCUGCUCUAUCUCUAUACACUAGCAACAAAAAAAGGCUGAAACUGAAAUUUCAAAGCACUGGGCAGCCUGUAAGCCCCAUUCACUUUAGCAACCAGCCAAGCUAAGAGAAAGGGCAACUCUGGCCUCAUUUCUCACUCUUGAUAGACAACUCCAUUUGUCAUCAGACCUGGUCUUUGUAUUACUUGAGGGGUUAUAAUAGUGGGUCCCUGGUAGGGAAGACACACGGCUUGGGAUUUCCUGUGGGAAUUUUUUCUUCUAUUACCUUAAAAAAAUCUCACAAUUAAAGAAACGGGGUAGUUCACCUAAAUCCUUCGGUUAUCAUAAAAACCCCUAUGUUGGCCUUGCACAGACUCUAAGGCAUCUCACAUCUACCAUCACACUUAAUUUCACAACAGCCCUAUGGGAGAGGCUGUACAGAAGUCAUUGUGGCCGCUGAACAGAUGGGGAACAUGAGAGUUCUGUUGACCCACAAAACUGGAGAAUCCAAGGGAUGUGUCUGACUAAAAGCACAGCUGAAUCCAAGGUUUCAAAUUGCAUCACUUGGGUGUCCAAUAUCCAUCUCAGAGAAGUUAAAUGUUUUGCCCAAAGUCACGCAGUUCAUAGCUAGUAAGAGCAGGACCUGAACAGUGGUCUCCAAACUCCAAAUCUAAUGCUUUCUCAUAGUUUCUUGUGUUGAAAAAAGAAAGAGGCCAGAAGUCCUCUGCUCAGGACUAAUUAUCCCCUGAUCUUUAUUCCCAUAUUCCUUUUAUGGUUCAUGCCACAUUGCAUUAUAGCUAUUUGCUAAUGUAUCUGUCUUCUGUGCUCACAAGGCAGACACUGUCUCUUUCACCACUCGAUAGAUGUCUUUUAAAUUAAAUUAUCAUCAAAAAAUCACUUAUUGUUUGUCUCAAAACAUACUCUAACUCUCUCUCUCUCACACACACACCCACCCACACGCGCGCGCGCGCGCACACACACACACACACACACACACACACACAGAAAAAAUUUGGUGGAGCUUAGAAGAGAAGGCCACAGAAUUGGCUUUUGCUAAUUGUGGGUUAUAGCCUAAGCCAGACAAUAAGAGACAGACAUGAUGGGCACAGUGAAAUUUCACAGGAUAGACAUGAAAAAGACGUGACCAAUGAAUUAACAAGAGGGUGAGUGAAUCAGGAUUUUGGCUUCCAGUCAUUGAGGAAGAAAGCCCAGCACAAAAAAAAAUUAUACUAGCUCAUAGACCUGAAAUAACCAAGAGAUAUAUCUGACUGAAGACAAGGCUGAAUCCAGAGUUUCAAAUUAUAUCCUUUGAAUGUCCAAUGACUAUCCCAAGCCUGAAAGGUCAAAAUCUGAGCUCCUAAUCUCCCUCCAAAAUCUGCUAAUCCCGUAUCUUCUACAUCUCAGUAAAUGGUACCCUCAGUGGCUCCACCAUUCAGUCAUUCAGGCAAAAAUCCCUAGAGUCAUUCUUGACUCUUCUCUUUCUCUGACCCCCCACAUUCAAUUAUUUACGCUGCUGUGGCCCCGCCAUGAAAAUCCAUCCUGAGGGCAGCCUUUUUUCUACCUGUCCUAAACCAAAUCAUCAUCAUCCCUCAUCUAAAGAAUUAUAACAGCCCUUGCCUUCCUAGGGCCAAUGUUCAACACCGCGAGUGCACAUAUAUGAUCAUAUAUGACAAGUGAAUCAUAUCAUGUCACUCCUCUUCUCAAAACCCUUCAGGGCCUUCUUCUCUCUCUCCACAGAAAAGCUAAAACCUUCACAAUGCCCUACAAGCCCCUACACAAUCUGCUCCCCUUACCCCUCUGACCUCACCUCCACUGUCCCCUCACUUAAUCUGCUCCAGCCCCACCGGCCUCCCUGCCCUUCUUCAAACACACAGGACAGGCACUCACCUCAAGGCCUUUCCAUUUACUCCUCCCUUUGCCCAGAUGCACUUCCUCCAAAUACCCUCAUACCCUCCAGAUCUGUACACAGACGUCAUUUUCUCAGAGGGGUCUUUCCAAGAUACUCUUGCAAAAUUGCAACAAUUCCUAUCACCACCACCCAAUGUUCCCUACUGUCCUUCCUCAUUGUUUAUCUCCACAGCACUUAUCAAAAUGCUAUACAAUUUGCUAAAGUGUAUUGUUUAACACCUGCCUCUCCCUACUAGAAUGGAAAUUCUUUUCUCCGCUGGAGGACACCAGUGUGUUCCAUGCAGAAAUGGUGGACUCUUGUCUCUUCCCCCUUCAUCUGCACUGAGCUCUGUUAUCUGAACCCCAGUUCUCAUAAGGUUCCCCCUCAAAAAAGACCCUUUUAGCUUUUCCCAGUGUUCUCUUUACCACUUAGGAUCAGACCUUGUCCUGGAGCCAGACUGCAGAACACAAUAUGAUAGUGUCCCCUGUUGGGAAGGCUGAAGACACCCUCUUGCUGUGGGCCAACAGGUGCCCACAGCCAAAUUCUUUUCCUCUUCCUUCACUCAAAAUGCAGAAAUUCUCAGGCAUAUCAUCUCAGCCAAAUAGGCCCAAAAGAUACCAGAGUGUGGGUGGAGGGGCAGAAGGAGAUGUCAGCCUCCUGGCCUAGCAUCAGCUUGGGCUCAGUUGGGACUGGACAACCCAACUGUGAAAAAGACGGCUGGUUGGCCAGUGAUAUCCAUUCUGCUUCCUUUAAUAACAGAACUCCUGAGUUUUAGCCACCAUCAGUGGGGUUAUGUGGACAAACUCUGACCAACGGCAUGUGAGCGGAAGUGAUGUGUGACACCUACAGGUCACGUCCCAAAAAAGAAAUGUGCAUGUGCUCUUCCUGACUCUGUUUUUCUCCCCUCUGGUUAAGGGAAAUGACAAGAAUUCAUCAUCUGCUUUGGACUCAGAGCUGGAAGUUCUACACAGAGGACCCCUUUGCUUCCCUACAAGUCCUAGACCACUUCCCUCUGAGCUGUCAUAGGAGGAAGAGAUAAAGUUCUACCACACUUGAACCACUGUACUUCGGGUUUUCUUUGUUACAGCAGCCUGGCUGAUACAUUCACUAAUACAACGAUCCCACCUACAAUGUCUUUCUUGCCAUAGAGUAUUUC